RNAcentral lists this ribosomal RNA (495 nucleotides) under uncultured bacterium. RNAcentral's name for it is "partial 16S ribosomal RNA". It matches the Rfam family "Bacterial small subunit ribosomal RNA", at positions 28 to 507 of the family's 1533-position model. The record is from RNAcentral.
GACGAACGCUGGCGGCGUGCCUAAUACAUGCAAGUAGAACGCUGAAGGAGGAGCUUGCUUCUCUGGAUGAGUUGCGAACGGGUGAGUAACGCGUAGGUAACCUGCCUGGUAGCGGGGGAUAACUAUUGGAAACGAUAGCUAAUACCGCAUAAGAGUAGAUGUUGCAUGACAUUUGCUUAAAAGGUGCAAUUGCAUCACUACCAGAUGGACCUGCGUUGUAUUAGCUAGUUGGUGGGGUAACGGCUCACCAGGGCGACGAUACAUAGCCGACCUGAGAGGGUGAUCGGCCACACUGGGACUGAGACACGGCCCAGACUCCUACGGGAGGCAGCAGUAGGGAAGCUUCGGCAAUGGACGGAAGUCUGACCGAGCAACGCCGCGUGAGUGAAGAAGGGUUUCGGAUCGUAAAGCUCUGUUGUAAGAGAAGAACGAGUGUGAGAGUGGAAAGUUCACACUGUGACGGUAUCUUACCAGAAAGGGACGGCUAACUACGUG